UAUACAUGCAGUCGAGCGGACAGAAGGGAGCUUGCUCCCGGAUGUUAGCGGCGGACGGGUGAGUAACACGUGGGUAACCUGCCUGUAAGACUGGGAUAACUCCGGGAAACCGGAGCUAAUACCGGAUAGUUCCUUGAACCGCAUGGUUCAAGGAUGAAAGACGGUUUCGGCUGUCACUUACAGAUGGACCCGCGGCGCAUUAGCUAGUUGGUGGGGUAAUGGCUCACCAAGGCAACGAUGCGUAGCCGACCUGAGAGGGUGAUCGGCCACACUGGGACUGAGACACGGCCCAGACUCCUACGGGAGGCAGCAGUAGGGAAUCUUCCGCAAUGGACGAAAGUCUGACGGAGCAACGCCGCGUGAGUGAUGAAGGUUUUCGGAUCGUAAAGCUCUGUUGUUAGGGAAGAACAAGUGCGAGAGUAACUGCUCGCACCUUGACGGUACCUAACCAGAAAGCCACGGCUAACUAC
This 470-nucleotide ribosomal RNA is filed under the name Bacillus sp. (in: firmicutes). RNAcentral's name for it is "bacterial SSU rRNA". It matches the Rfam family "Bacterial small subunit ribosomal RNA", at positions 50 to 504 of the family's 1533-position model. Lineage: Bacteria; Bacillati; Bacillota; Bacilli; Caryophanales; Bacillaceae. The record is from RNAcentral.